ACAUUUGACUAUAGUCUACGGCUUUGAUUGAAAAGCAGCGAGAAUAAUAUGGAGUAAAUACUUUUUUCUGCUGUAUUACUCCAAUUUUAGCCAAUCAGGUGGAAAAAAAUUCUUCCUAUUUCCUCUGGUCACUGUUAAAAAGGAGUAAAACACACUUACAUUUUUACGGAAAAACGGCCGAGUAGUACCUGAACUAUGAUCAUAUUGCCUAUUCAAUAUAUAAACUAUUUCAGUGUGCGUAUUUGUACCUGAUCUACCAAAUAUUUGAAUUUGAUAACUGGACUUAUAAAAAAUGGCUUUUACGUACUUACGACCGACACCGUGUCAGUUAUAAUGUUAAUGUGGACCGGUUUCUUUGAUGAGUUGUUUUUUUUAGUUAAACGACGUCAUUUAAAAAAAAUUAAAAAAUAAAUAAAAGGUAAUCAUGAAUCAAACCCGGAACACCAAGCACAAUCUUUUAUAUUAUAAAACAGAAGUCAGUCGGCAAUUGUAGGUUUGACAUGUGGCAUUACACUAUUUAAAUUAAUUUUUAUUUGAUUUUCUUUCCAAAAUUUUCUCCCAUUUUUUUCCAAUAAUAUUUAUUUUUCAAAAAUCUUUAUAACCAAAACAAAUCAACAAUCUCCACUUUCUACCACUCACCUUCGCCAUCCAUCUAACGUCGAUUACUCUUUCUAUAAAAUACCCAAAUAGACGAAAUCGAUUAUAGUUUCAAUGCUAUGAAGCUCGGAGAUUUUGGAGGAUUUCCAAUUACAUAGUGAGAAAAAGAUAGGAAAAUGAUAUUCUUUACGGAGUAUCAUUGUAUCAAGUCUGAAAAUUUUCACUCCCGGCAUCAACCCCAUUGACUUGUAAUAACGAGGCAUUUGUAUAGGGAGCUUCGCUAAGAUGCAAAGUUUGUCUUAGAAGAACUCAGGAGAGAAUAAGAACAAAGUAUUGUUGAAUCAGUCUACAAUCCAGCAAAAGAAAAGCCAAAACAAAUGAAGGAGUUUUCUCUGCAACAAAAGGAAUACAAAAAUAGAACCACCCAUAAUCUGAAAACAAGUGCUUUCAGAAGAUGGAAAUGCAACAAAAAACCUAACACUACAGGGGAAAACAGUAUCAACAACUUCAAUGAUGCAACAAGCCACGGCUAAAUGGAGUACUGAGGUAAUAAUAAGUAUAUAGGACUCCCAUUAUAUAAUCACUCUCUUACUCUUUUCCAUUAUACAAAUCUGUUUUUUUUCUUCUUCUUUUUUGGACAAAUGUUUUUUUCUUCUUCCCAAUAGCUUAUUCUUAGGAAACAAAUGAACAAAAUAUUUGGCUGCGUGCGUAUAUUUAAGACAUUAGACCUUAAUACUGGUUGGAAAUAUGAACGUAAAUAUUUUAACACUUUUCUUUCGGUUAACCAUGGAAUCUUCCAAUGUUUUUUUUGAGUUUUUUCAGCAAGAAGUGUAUUGGUUUAUAACGGUCAAAUGAUAGGCUAGGUCAUCUUACCACCGAGGAACCUGAAAUUGGCAUAUUGGCGCUGACUGAAUUGAUCAAAUGCUAUUUAUUCCAUUCCUAUUAUUUGAACUGAUGUGUUGAUUAUAAAUGUAUUUGAAACCAGUUAUUUGUUGUCUCUUAUUUGAUCAAUAUAAUUCCAAAGAGUAACACUUACCUAAAAUUGUUUAUUACAUUUUACUCAAAACAUAUUAAAUUAUAUGUAAUUAUUGAUUUGUUUUUCUAAUAAAAUAAUAUUUUAUUUUAUUUUGCAAUAUGCCUAAAAAAAUUAGUCAAUCCGCGCUAUUGCGCGGGCAAAUAUCUAGUUUAUACAUGUUUAGUGAUAGAAAAUCUUUUUUUUCUUUGCAUAUGCAGAACAAGACAUAUCAUCAUGAUGGCCACCGUUUGAUUUGAAUACUUCCAUUAAGAUUAAAAGAUUUCAUCAGACUAUGUGUUGUUUAGCAAAUUUCCAGUCCAUCUUUGUAGAAAGUUUAUUCUUACAGUUUAUAUCUGAUGAAUUUAUAUUUUUUUUUGUGAAGUAAAUCCAUAAAGACGAACAGAGAUUUUGAUAUCUGAUGAAUUUAUAUAUCUUUUAGUUUAUAUUUGUCUUUGACUCUAUUUCCCGGUGCAUAGCAUCGGGAAUAAUAGUAGUAACCUUAUAAACAACUUUUACUAGUGAAGAUACAUUGUUUACUCCACAACUAUAUAACCUUUAGUAGGCGUUUCUUAGAAUUUAACACUUAUCAAUUAAACUCUCCACCUCACCGACAUUACUUUCAUUUUAUCCCUUCCCCAAUUCAAUGAACCCUAAAAAAAAAUUACGAGAGAGAUUGUGUGUAACCAUGAGGCUUUGCUUGGUUUGGAGCAAGAAAGUGAUUCUAUCGAGUUUAGUACAGAAAAAUCGUCACUACGGGCAUUCUAAUCCAUCGAAAAUGGGAUAAAAUUUGUUUUUGAGUUUCCUAAAAUGUUUGACAAAUCUUAAACUUUAUGCAUAUAUUUCUAUCUAACAUGACUAUAUGAUAAUUAGACCGAGUUUAUUGCCAUUCGUUGAAGAUUUACUAGUGUAGGAAAAAAUUUUAUUUUGUGCAUACAAGGUAUUCGAUUAAAUGUUUUUGACUAAUAUCCUUUGUUUUCUUUGUUAAAUUUCAGUGACAAAGUUGUUUGUUUUAAUGUCUGGUAUUGUGGAAAGUUUGAGACUCUUGAAAAUUGGUCUAUGGUUUAUAUCAGAGGAAGAUAAAUGGUACUUGAAUAAGAACCACAUGCAGGGGCUUGGAGAAUGCUCUGAUUGUGCCAUUAUCUAGACAAAGAUUCUGGUACAAAUUGCCGGCUGAGGAUCUUUCUGGCCUGAAGAUAUUAUGUGAUAGCAAUUCUAAUUUUGAAAAGAUGUGUGAAGUGGCAAAUUGUACUGGGUAUAUGGAGAUAUACAUGGAGAAAGAUAAAGAUGGUGAUGACAGUGGCGAUGAUUCUCGUCAUGAGAAUGGUGAAAAGGCAACUGAUAAUCUAAGUGAUGGGUCUAAUGAGGUAUGUGCUGAAGAAUCUCGUGUUGAGAAUAUAAUUGCUCACAUUGUAGAUGAUGAAGAUGAGGUGAAUGGUGAUAUAGUACGAACUCCUCCUCCAUCUAAUGGUGAAGAAGAGGAGGAAAAUCGCAUAUAUUAUGAAAGAUGGAAGAGGGAAAGUGGUGAGCAAGGAAUAAGACAAGUAUUUAUAACAGAAGAAUAUUAAUUGAAGGCAUAUGAUGUUGAGAUCUAUGAAGCUUUCAAACAGUGGAAUCCCAAUAGUUGUAUGAGUGCUUUCUUCGGCACCAUAUCAUCAUGUGAAGAUGCACUUAACAAUCAGAGUCUUACAACAAUUAUUGGAAAAUCACGAGCACUGCCCUUGGUUGAGAUGUUAGCAACUAUGAGGAGGCAUACUAUGGUGAGGAUUUCACUUAGGAAAAAGAAGGCUAGGAAAUGGAAUAAGAGACACAGUCUGAAAGUUAAUAAAGUCAUUGCCGCAGAAGAGAAAGAAAGGAAGAAUUGUAGUGUGGCAAUUCCUAGUACUAAUGGAACGUAUGAGGCGAUUGAGAACAGGAUAGCCCAUAAAGUUCAUCUGCGAUUGAGGACUUGUAUUUGUCGAAGGUGGGACUUGACGGGGAUACCGUGUAGACAUGCCUUGCAGGUGGUGUUUUUAAGAAAUCUCAACGUAGAAAACUACAUCUCUCACUGGUAUUUGACAAGCAAAUGGGUGGCGCAGUAUAGUAUUACCUUUGAAGCAACGAAUAGUCUCAAAUUUUGGAAGAAAUCAGGUGAACCAACGCUGACAGCACCACCAAAAAAGCCUUCUAUGUGUCGGAAUAAGAUGCCACAAAAGAGAAAGAAGGGGAUAAACGAGGAGCAAAAAAAGGAAAGAAGGUGGCCAACCAUGGAUGAACAAUGCAAUGCUACAGAUGUGGUUUGAUGGGACAUAACUCACUGAAAUGCAAGAAUGGAGGUGUUCGUUAAAAGCCUAGGAAGCCAAAGAAGGCAAAGACUAAAACCACAGGUGGCAUGGACAGUGAAGAAGGACCAAACCAACAAAACCAACCAACUCAAACUUCUGUUUUUUAGCUGUUUAUUGCUAGGUUGUGUUAAAAUGUUGGCUAGGAUGUUUUAGCAUGGUUUGGAGUUCUUUUGCUAUCGGAUUGUGUAGGUUUUUGGCUCUAAUACAGCUAUGUAAUGUCGUUUAUGGUACUUUGAUGAUGCUUAUUAAACAAGAUGACCUAGAUUAUAAUAUUAUAGUUCUUGUUUUGUCAAUUGAAAAAUUUAAACCUAACAAACUAACGUAACCUCACAAGAAGAAGAUAAAUAAUAAAAAUAAAUUAUAUUUCCUCUAUCUAAUAUAUGCUAUUAUAGAUUUACUAUUUGCGUGUAUUAACAAUGUUUAUUCAUUAGCAGAAAUGGUUUAGGAUGUACGAGAUCAAGCUUCAGACCCAGGUUCGACGCCAGGGAAGCCCUUUUUGUUUUUUUCUUUAAUUGAAACAUCAUUGUUUUAAACGUUUGUGGGUAGAGAUGGCAAUUCUUGGACUUGCCCGUGGGCCGGACCCGUUAAGCUUUGCUGUGGGGCGGGAUUGGGCAUGAACAUCCAGGCCCAUUUGUUUAGCGGGCCUCGCGGGAUAGGGACUGUGCGGAAUUGGGCCUCAUGCGGGAUGGGCUCAAAUGAGCCUGCGGGAUAUUGAGGACCCGCAACUACUAUUGAAGAAGCUCUAAGCCUUUAACCGUUAACGAUAAACUCAAACAAGAGUUUAAUCAGGCACAACAAAAAUCUUCUCCGUCAUUAUCAAAGUAUGAACUGCUGGCAGAGACGAACAACCAACUCAAGAUCAAAAUUCAACAGCUUGAAGGGUUACUAGGUUCUAGUUCUACCGAGAAGGAAGCUGCUAUGAAACAGGUUACUUCCCUCACCGAGCAGGACAAUCAAGUCAAUAAGAUAUUUCAAAGUACUAAGGUUGAGCUCCAAUCUGUUAUUGCAAAGCUUGAAGAACAAGUAACCAUAGAGAGGUCUAAACCUAAUACUUUGGUGUCGGAGAUUGAGAAGCUCAAGGCAGUGGCUGCUGAAAAGUCUGUUUUGGAAUCACAUGUUGAAGAACUUGAAAAGACUUUGAAAAAAAUUCUAAGCUCAGUUGAAAGAAGAGCUCAAAAAUGCAACUGCUGCGUCUGUAAAAGUGGCCGAACUCACCUCAAAACUGCAGGAAGACGAACAUAUUGCUAGUGACCGAGAUGUGCUCAAUGAGCAAGUGCUUCAGCUUUAGAAAGAGCUUCAAGCGGCUCAGAUUUCAAUUGCUGAACAGAAACAAGCAAAAUCCCAGAAGCAUUCAGAGUUGGAGGCUGCACUAAAGCAAUCACAAGAAUUAAAGAAAUAUAACUCGCCAGUGUUCCUUAAUCCUAGCACCCACAAUCAUAUCAAUCGAGCUUCCCGUAAGCAUCGCCCAGCUACUGUACGGCUCGUCCUGCUUACUUAUCCUUGUUUCCUCCUUUGUUUGGUUAAGUCUCAGUAUCCUGACGUCUUUACCUUCUAUCUUGACCAUGAAACGCUUGCCUUAAGGUCCUAAGACCGGCUGGUACGUUUCCUCGAACCAUGGCCCGUUUCCUCGAACCAUGGCCCGUCCCAACGAUCCUAUCUAGGAUCGGGGAUGAGACAUGCAGGACUCAAAGAACAGGAGAGUAGGAAGAACGGCUAUAAAGGAAGAGAGGAGGAGAGGCAAAAGGGAGAGGGGAAACCCUAGAUACUAUACACAUUAGGCAUGACCUCGAUCUCUCACUUUAUAUACUUUUGUCUUAGUUCUUAGUCAUUGUAAUCUCAUCUCUUUGUAACCACUGUAUUCGAUUAAUCUUUAUUAAUAAAAUCCAUUUUUGUCAA
This is a long non-coding RNA of Brassica napus (rape), 5829 nucleotides long. RefSeq lists it as uncharacterized. NCBI's taxonomy places the organism in Eukaryota, Viridiplantae, Streptophyta, Magnoliopsida, Brassicales, Brassicaceae. The transcript is spliced from 9 exons. The record is from RefSeq and is a predicted model, not a curated record.